RNAcentral lists this non-coding RNA (312 nucleotides) under Pongo abelii (Sumatran orangutan). The record is from RNAcentral. Lineage: Eukaryota; Metazoa; Chordata; Mammalia; Primates; Hominidae.
UAAUAAAGAAAAAAAUGAGGAAAUGCUGUGAAGAAUAGAACAUUUCAGAAGCAGAACAAUUCGAGAGCAGUGAUGACCCUUUUGUUCCUACUAGUACCUCCUGACUGUCUGGCCGAACUCACCAUCAGAUGAUGUCUUGAACCUCACCUAGACGGGCUGGUGGUGUGUGGCCAGGUUAAGAGCACCACGAGGAGUAAGAAAGUGACGUGCCUGGUUUUACCAUGUCCACUAGGGGAGGAGUUGAAAGCUUUCUGUUGAUACAUCACCUCUGGGAGUUGAAGAAGAAUGCAAUUAAAAGAGCUAAAGAAGUCA